GGGAUUGUAGUUAAUCCUGGUGGUGUAGUUCUAUCAGAUUUCUCGAUUAACUCCCUCACAUUCAAUCUUAAGGGGUUAGAUAUCAUUGUCCCAUUAGACAUAGGAACAGGAAAUCAUACUGUUCCAGGUGGAGAUGAUGUUUGUCAUAGUUUGUUUGGUGGAGCAAGCCUUCAUAUUGAAAAUUUCACCCUUUCUGAGUCACCUACUCUUAAGCUGGGGCUACUAAACCUCGAGAAGGAUCCGGCAUGCUUCAGUCUGUGGGAAGAUCAACCAAUUGAUGGUAGCCAGAAGAAAUGGACUGCUGGUGCUUCAGUCAUUAGUCUCUCUCUACAAACAUGUAAAGAUUCAACUGGACUCCAAAAUUCUCUUGCAUUACCUUCAAAUUCAUGGAGAUGUGUUGAGCUGAAAGGUGCUUGCCUUGAAGUAGCAAUGGCUACUGCAGAUGGAGGCCCUUUAACAAAUGUCCCACCUCCGGGAGGAAUU
This 483-nucleotide unclassified non-coding RNA is filed under the name Hevea brasiliensis (rubber tree). Lineage: Eukaryota; Viridiplantae; Streptophyta; Magnoliopsida; Malpighiales; Euphorbiaceae. The record is from RNAcentral.